GCCACCUGGCUCCACUCCGUCCGUGCCUGAGCCCAGGCGGGCAUCAGACUCCAGGGGUCCGGAGCCGCAGGCACGGAACACAGGCAGCUUUAGGGGCCUGUCGGGUUGGGAGUGCGGGGAGGGGUCUUCUGGGGGAAAGGAGACAUGGCAGGAAUCUUACAUCUAGAACUUGGGGUCAUGACCUGCGGGACGCACCCACUGACGCGGGGAUGGAGAAAAAAGUGGUGAGAAUUGGGCUAAUUGAUGACAAGCGCCAAGAGCUGUCUUGCCAGUGCCCAGAGCACCCCACCAGUGCCAGUUCAUAUUAACAGAGCGUCCACUGGCUGGGGACCAGGCCCCGGGAUGGGGAGGAGGUAAAGAUGCCAGGAUGGAGAGGAGACAAAAUUCCUACCCCGAGGGAGCAGGGAAAGUCUAGUUCAGACAAGACUUUUGAAAUUAUGAGCAGAGACAUUUGCAACUUUGCAGAAUGGAGGAACCUCACCUUGGAUGUCCCCAUGGAGCCUUGGAGGGAUGCAGAAGACAGGAUUGGCCAGCGACAGUCAAAGUGGCCGGCACCCCCCUCUACCAGCUCCCCAGUUCCUGGAGGCUGGGGGCCAAAAGAAAGACACAGGCUACUUUGACAACCUGAAAGCGAACUCCAGAAAUAUCACC
This 651-nucleotide long non-coding RNA is filed under the name Homo sapiens (human). Its description in RNAcentral is "HSALNT0140828". The record is from RNAcentral. Lineage: Eukaryota; Metazoa; Chordata; Mammalia; Primates; Hominidae.